CGUGGAGACAGGUGGUGCAUGGCUGUCGUCAGCUCGUGUCGUGAGAUGCUGGGUUAAGUCCCGCAACGAGCGCAACCCUUGUCCUUGGUUGCCAGCAUUAAGUUGGGCACUUUAAGGAGACUGCCGGUGUCAAACCGGAGGAAGGUGGGGAUGACGUCAAGUCCUCAUGGCCCUUAUGUCCAGGGCUACACACGUGCUACAAUGGUCGAUACAAAGGGUUGCGAAACCGCGAGGUGGAGCUAAUCUCAAAAAGUCGGCCUCAGUUCGGAUUGGAGUCUGCAACUCGACUCCAUGAAGUCGGAAUCGCUAGUAAUCGUGGUUCAGCAUGCCACGGUGAAUACGUUCCCGGGCCUUGUACACACCGCCCGUCACUCCACGAAAGUCUGCUGUACUCGAAGUCGCUGAG
Molecule: ribosomal RNA, 406 nt
Filed under: uncultured Methylomirabilota bacterium
Lineage: Bacteria; Methylomirabilota (SeqCode)
Description: bacterial SSU rRNA
Rfam family: Bacterial small subunit ribosomal RNA
Source: RNAcentral